AAGAACCCUAGCAGGUGCUGAAAAGGUUACAAAGUGAUGCACUGAUGCUCCAGAUGUAGAUUGUAAAAACGAAGGUAGAUAACUGAGAUGGGUGAGGUACAAAGACAGAGACUAAUACAUUAUCCAAUAGAAAGAAGUUAGAAAAUGAUGCAUUAUCCAAACCAAAAUGUUAGUUUAAUAAGAAAAAUUAUGA
Long non-coding RNA from Hibiscus syriacus, 193 nucleotides. RefSeq lists it as uncharacterized. The transcript is spliced from 2 exons. The record is from RefSeq and is a predicted model, not a curated record. Lineage: Eukaryota; Viridiplantae; Streptophyta; Magnoliopsida; Malvales; Malvaceae.